UGACCAUUCUUCAAUUAAACCAUUUAAUUGCAUAUCCAUUUCAUUUAAUUUCUUCACUAUCGCCCUUACUUGGUGUACGAUCCAUUAGGUUCCAAUUAGCGACGUAGUGGGCGAUUGUUACUCUUAACGAUCGAUUGUGAAUUGAAACCACAUUUCAAUUCUCCCUUUAUGAUUAGUGUUUGCUAGUCAUUAGGGCUUCCACAAACCAUGAGUGAUACCUAGCAGUAUGUCAUGGUUACCCAAGCUAAGUAGAAUUGGUUGGAGAACCUAUCCAGUUACAACUACAAUGCAAUACGGUCCUUCUCUAAUACAAUACUCUUAAUCACAUUGUUUAAGUGAUAGUUUGUUUCAUGUCUACUAUCCAAUGUGAUACUUUUCUAUAUGAUUCCUUUGAAUAUGAAUUGGAACAAACUUCCUAAGUCAUAUUCAUUUGCUUUGGCCAAAGACUUACGAAUCACAUCUUAGAGUAUUCUCCUUCCACCAUGGAAGGUUAGAGAUCCCUUGUUGUGCAUUCAUAUGCCUACAUGACUAGAUAGCUGGACCCCAACAAUGUCGUGGACACUCCGAUGGAAUGCCGUUGACAUGAUCAAAGAUCAAGGACCUAACCAUUAGACAUCUAUGAUGCCUCAGGUCAAAGGACUACUUUGCAUAUUGCAACUUUCGAGUUCUUACAUGACAUGUAUGUUCGAACUCUCUUUCGAUCGUUGUUCAGUGUACUCGAUUACUCUUUCGAGCACCUAUGUGUUUGUCUUAGUGUCCAACACCAAAUGACUUGAGUCUAGUCAUACUCAAGCUUGAGUCGACAUAACACAUACUAACCUUAGCGGAUUGUCAAUACCCAAUUGGCAAUCCUAUGGCUAGGAACGUUUUAGGAAUGAACAUAAGAGAAUGGUCUCGAUAAUCUAACUCACUUAGAUCACUUAUCUCUUAGAUCAAAUACAUCCCUUAGAUUCCCUUAUUACUUAAACACAUGAUACAAUAAAUAGUGAUCAACAAUAAGCUUUGCCCUUCAUUAAACAUAUAAAAGUUUAAUACAUUAAGUAUUCCAAAAAGCUUUCCACAAUGAAAGCAUGUUCCUUUGGAUUUUCUUGCCUUCUUCUUAUGCAACCUUUUCCUUGUGAUUGCAUUCUCACUCCCACUGUCUUUUUUGAAACCUUGUUCAAACUUACAGCACAUGUCAAUCAUCUCAGUAAAAGUAUGAUUGAAUCUAUUCACUUUAUAGUUUACAAUAAACUUAGUGAAAUCAUCCGAGAGAGAUGCAAGGAAAAAGUCUUGGGCCAUUUUCCCAUCGAUGAAAGUUCCUAAACUUUCAAGAUCUUGAAAGAUCCUUUCCAUCUUUUGUCCAUGUUUAUGAACCGAUGUCCCCUUUGCCAUUUUGGCAUUCAAUAGACUACAAACAUUUGCGAAUCGUACAUUACUAGUCUCAAUGUCAUGCAUCUUAUGCAAACUUUCAACCAUGGCACAAGAAGUGUCCAUGUGCUCAUGUAGCUUCAUAAGCUCCUCACUAUGUGAAGUGAGGAUUAAGCAUUUGGCUUGUAAAUCAUCCUCAUAAUGUCUUGCAUAAUCUUGACACUCCUCCUUUGAAGCUAGUUUCGUAGGAGGUACAUGAGGAGGGGAUUGCUUAAGCACAUACAAUAUGUCUUUCACCUUUGAGACAUUCUCAAUGUGGCGAUACCAAGCAAGGAAACAUUGGCCCCUAAGGCAACCUUGAGGAUGUUGACUUUCCCCUCGGCAGCAUAUCUUCUAAUGAUAUUAAAACGCCUGUCAAAAUGCUUGUUCUUUUGAUGAGCCCUGGGUUCCUUGGCUUGAGCUAUCGCCCACUAUUGUCACAGUACAAAGUUACUGGUGAUGUAAUGGUUGGAACCACUCCAAGUUCAGUAAUGAACUUCUUCAUCCAGAACGCUUCUUUGUCAGCUUCAGCUACAGCGACAUAUUCUGCCUCCGUCGUGGAAUCAGCAAUUACAUCUUGUUUCUUGCUUUUCCAGCUAACAGCACCACCAUUCAGAGUGAAUACAUAUCCGGAGUUGGAACUUCUAUCAUCGACGUCAAAUUGGAAAUCUGCGUCUGUAUAGGCUUCCACUCGCAACUAUGUUGCUCCUCCAUAAACAAGGAACAUGUCCUUAGUUCUUCUUAAGUACUUAAGGACCGUCUUGACAGCUGCCCAGUGUUCUGAUCCUGGGUUAGAUUGAUAUCGACUAGUAAUGCUCACAGCAUAUACGAUAUCAGGCCUUGUGUAUAUCAUGGCAUACAUGAGACUUCCUAUGGCGGAAGCAUAAGGAAUAGCAUUCAUCUGCCGUAUCUCUUCAGGAGUCUUAGGUCCCAUGGACUUAGAAAGGUGAAUUCCAUGUCUCACAGGAAGAAAACCUUUCUUAGAUUGUUCCAUGUCUCACAGUAAGCAAAAUCUGAAUGGACUUAAUCAUGGCUACAGGAGAGAAGGUUUCUUCAUAGUCAAUCCCUUCUCUUUGCCUGUAACCCUUGGCUACGAGUCUAGCCUUAUAAGUCUCCAUGUUCCCUUCAGCGCCUAUCUUCCUCUUGAAGACCCAUUUGUUUCCAACAGGUACUAUACCUUCUGGAGGGUCUACAAGAGUCCAGACCUGAUUUUGAUACAUGGAAUCCAUCUCGGAUUUCAUGGCCUCUUGCCAUCUCUUUGAAUCAAUGUCAGACAUUGCUUCAGUAUAGUCUCUAGGGUCCUCCUUUGUGUCAUUGUCACCUAGAAGGUGCAGUUCCCCAAAGUCAUUAUCUAAGCCAUACCUCUUAGGUGGCUUGCUAACCCUUUCAGAUCUACGUGGAGCUAGGGGUUCAGAAACAGGGUUGUCAAGUUGUCGAGUACUUGUUUGUGGUUCAUCAUUAAUCUCAUUAAUUUCCAUCGUUUUACUUAUAGUUCUUUUGAGAACAAAUUCGUCCUCUAGAAACUUAGCAGUUCUGGCGACAAAAACGUUUUGGUCGUCAGGAUGGUAGAACUCAUAUCCCAUAGUUUCUCUAGGAUAUCCCACAAAAUAACACCUAACUGAUCUCGCUUCAAGCUUCUUGACAUAUGCUUCACAACCCCAAAUCUUAACGUGAUUGGCUUUCUUCCAUGCCAUAUCUCAUAGGGCGUCUGUGAAACUGACUUGGAAGGUACUCUAUUAAGCAAGUAAGCUGCUGUAUAUAGAGCGUAUCCCCAGAAUGUUACUGGUAGAUCGGCGGAAGUCAUCAUAGAACGAACCAUGUUCAUCAAGGUUCGAUUUCUCCUUUCAGAAACUCCAUUAAGUUGUGGAGUUCCCGGUGGAGUCCACUGUGAUAUUAUUCCACACUCUUUGAGAUAAUCUAAGAACUCGGUGCUUAGAUACUCUCCCCCUCGAUCUGAUCUUAGGAUCUUUAUCUAUUUCCCAGUUUGCUUCUCAACUUCAUUCUUGAAUUCUUUGAACCUUUCAAAGGAUUCUGACUUGUACUUCAUAAGAUACACAUAGCCAAACCGAGAGUGAUCGUCGGUGAAUGUGAUAUAGUAGGAGAAGCCUCCUCUCGACGUAGUAGACAUAGGUCCACAUACGUCAAUGUAGAUUAACCCUAGAAUUUCAGUGGCACGCUCUCCUUUUCCAUUGAAUGGAGAUUUGGUCAUCUUCCCUUUUAAGCAACAUUCACAAGUACCCAUUUGGUCAUUACCUAAUGGGCGGAAAUAUCCGUCUUUCGGCAUCUUGCGAAUCUUAUCAAGGUUCACAUGUCCAAGUUUAAGAUGCCACAUCUUUUCUCGGUUAACUUCUUCUCUAGCCCUUUUGGGUUUUGAGGUAUUCCCGCUUUCAAUACAGUGCAUCCCACUACUUGUCUCUAGGUGAAAAAGUCCCUCUAUCAUAUUACCAUGAGAGAUAAUAUGACCGUUCAAGUAUAAAGUGCAACUCAUUUUGUCAAACAAUAUUGAGUGCCCAUCUCGUAAAAGCUUAGAGAUAGAAAUCAAAUUCUUUAUACAUGAAGGAAAAUAUAAACAAUUUUUAAGUUCCAAGACUUCCCCAGAGGGCAGUUUAAGCAUGUAGGUGCCUAUUGCUUUAGCAGAGAUCUUAGUGCCAUUCCCAACUCGCACAAUCAUCUCCCCAUUGCACAAUGUUAUGCUCCCUGUUAGUCCCUGCAACGAAUUACAGAUAUGUUGACUAGCGCCUGAAUCAAAUAUCCAGGAAUUGGAGCUCAUUGUAAAAGCACUCUCUAUAACAGAAAUAGUCCCUUCAAAAGUUUGUGUCAUAAGGCUCGCAAUGCGCACCCUGUAUUUCUUCUUCCAACAUUCAUCCUUUCCACAAUGAAAGCAUGUUUCUUUGGAUUUUCUUGCCUUCUUCUUAUGCAACCUUUUCCUUGUGAUUGCAUUCUCACUCCCACUGUCUUUUUUGAAACCUUGUUCAAACUUAUAGCACAUGUCAAUCAUCUCAGUAAAAGUAUGAUUGAAUCUAUUCACUUUAUAGUUUACAAUAAACUUAGUGAAAUCAUCCGAGAAAGAUGCAAGGAAAAAGUCUUGGGCCAUUUUCCCAUCGAUGAAAGUUCCUAAACUUUCAAGAUCUUGAAAGAUCCUUUCCAUCUUUUGUCCAUGUUUAUGAACCGAUGUCCCCUUUGCCAUUUUGGCAUUCAAUAGACUACAAACAUUUGAGAAUCGUACAUUACUAGUCUCAAUGUCAUGCAUCUUAUGCAAACUUUCAACCAUGGCACAAGAAGUGUCCAUGUGCUCAUGUAGCUUCAUAAGCUCCUCACUAUGUGAAGUGAGGAUUAAGCAUUUGGCUUGUAAAUCAUCCUCAUAAUGUCUUGCAUAAUCUUGACACUCCUCCUUUGAAGCUAGUUUCGUAGGAGGUACAUGAAGAGGGGAUUGCUUAAGCACAUACAAUAUGUCUUUCACCUUUGAGACAUUCUCAAUGUGGCGAUACCAAGCAAGGAAACAUUGGCCCCUAAGGCCCCUUUUGUCAAGUAUAAUGGUGGGUGUAAUUUUAGGCAUGUCGUUAACUACACAACAUAACAGAAAUCGUAUUAGAUUGUUAAUUUUAAAACUACUUGAUUGGGUCUUAAAUCAAAUAGAACCACCCACUAUUUUUGGCAAAUUCUACAUCCCUCAAUGGAAUUCGAGAGUUGUGUUGAACUCUUAGCGGGGUAUGGGAGACUCACCAUUACCAAGCCCACCUCACGAUGAUACGAUGUUGGUUAGCAAAAAUAAUGAUGAGAGAAUAACGUUUUAAUCAUUUACAACUCUUGUAAUUACCCAUCUUGUUUGGCCUCUAGAGAAUGAUGCCUCACAAUGAUAUGAUGUUGGCAUCAUUACACUUAGUUAAGUUAUUCCCACCAUGCUAGUUCGUGUAGGGGUUCAAGAAUAGCCUCACAAUGAUAUGAUGUCGGCCAUCCUCGUUGCCUACCUCACUACAUCAUGUAUGUAUACAUGGACUCCUCCUAAAUGUAAGCACAUACUUUGAACUUCCCCAUGAUAGGAAGCCGUUGUAGGAGUCACAAACGAUUGGAGCCCAUCAUGGUGGAAGGCCUACGAAGAGAUGUUCAAAGCAUCUCUCGCUUAUCAACUUAAUAUUCGUUUUGUUGAGGGAGUAGUGUUGGGCUACAUCAAUUUAAUUUUAAUCUUAUUAAAAGAACUUGGCCUAUCACAACCAUUGGUCCAAGUUAAUAUGAAUUAGUAGUAUAUAAUACUCCCACUAUUUCGAUGAAACAAGCGAGACUAUAUGGAACUACUAACGAAUGUUUUGCAUCCUCAUAUGGACUAUAUAGUCAUAUUAGGUCUUAGGAUGAUUAUGAACCAUUUGAUUUGAUCCAACACGAGCCUUGUGUUGGACCUUGGGUUUAAGGUAGAUAGUUGUUGAUUUUAGUUACGCGUUUAAUCUAAUUAAACCGUUAUUUCCUAUUGGGCGUUGGACCCAACUAUUCCAAUUUGCAUACAUAUAAACAAAAAGGAAUACAUGAAAUAAAGAGAAGGGCUUAUGCGCUUUUACAACACAUUUGAUGAACUUAUGUCCAUUUACAACAAAUUUGAACUAAUCAAAUUACAUUCAAAUCUAAACUACUUAACCCAAACAUUCAUAAUGUAAAGCGGCCAAUCACAUAACUCAAUUAUCGAGGCCUUUGGUUCAUAAUCACCCUUUUCUUAAUCAAUCACAUUAACUAAGAAAGCAACUUAAAUAAUUGGUUUUCGGAUUCAUAGAAUUGAUUUAAAUGGAACUAAUAGAAAUGAAAAUCCAAUUCUCAUUGAAGAGACAAAACCAUUUUGUUCUCAUCUUAUUUGGGCCCAAAAACAAUGACCUCAACAAUUGGGCCAUUAUUCAAUAAACAUAAACUUUUGGGGUCACUUUGUAAAAACACAAGAGUCCACAACUUCAUGUAAUUACAACUAGAACCCAAAAUUUUAACAAUAACAAAAAAAUCAUUAAAGGAGCAAAACAAUUUGUCCUUUAGAGUUUUUGGGCCUUAACGUAAAAACGCAAACUUUUGGGUCAAAGUGCAAAUACACAAAAGUAUCAAAACUUUAUGUAAUUGCAUGAAAGCCCCAAAAAUACCCCCACUAAGGGGUGGCCGGUUUUGGAAGUGAAAAAGGAGGAAGGGGGGGGGGGGGGGGGAAGGUUUUGGUGAAAAAUUCAAAGUUUUGUGCAAGUGGAUAGGUAGGAGAGGAAAUGUUGAUUGGGAUGGGUUGUAAGAAAAAUGUUUUGUGAAACAUUAAAGGCAUUAACCAUCCAUCACCAAUCAUCCAUCACCUUUCAAAAAUAAACCAAAACUUUAUGAAAAACACCAAACACUUUGAAUCAAAAUUCCAAACCUUUUGUUCUUGGUAAGAAACUCAAGAACAUUGAAGAACACACAUGAAAACUCAUAAGAGCUCCAUGAAUGUUUUCACACAAUAAAACUCAAAUUUUCACUACACAAAAGAGGGUUAACAUCCUAGGGUACUUAGGGGUUCCAAAAGUCACUUUAAAACUCUUUUAACAAGACAAACAAGAACCCAAAAAUCCACCCUUUGGAUUUGGCCGAAAAUCCCCAAAUACAUGGCACCAAAUUUUAAAUCCAAUAUUCAUGCUUAAAUGAACUACAUCUACAACAUUUGAGAUGCUAAAUUUUCAAGCAAAAUUUAUAUUCAAAAGCAAGAACAAAGCUUGUAACAUUUACAACAUUUAAAUCACUAACCAUGAAAAAACACAAAACCCAAAUGGAUUCACCAUAAACUAGGCCUAGGCUCUGAUACCACUUGAAGGAAAAAUUUUGUCCUAGCUAAGAACAUGUGAAAAUAUUUGAACACAUAUGCAAACUAUUAACACAUUAAAGUAGGCAUGCAUUCAAAAACAAUUCUAAAACCCAUGACUUUCAAAGCCUAGUGAAUGGUGAACCAUGAGACUCUUUAACAACAUUAAAGAGAAGGUUGGAUUUUGAGUUUCAUUACCCUUGAAGCUCAUCCUUGUUUACACAAGGGAUUCACCCAAGUGGAGGGCCUUCAAGUCACCUCCUAGCUCCUUGGAUCUUCCUUGUGAUUUUCUUCCUUUUGAUGCUCCUUUGCUCCUUGGGGAUGUGAGGAAAGGAUCUCCAAAACACCAAAGGUUUGGUGUCUCUAAGUCUCCACACAAAGGAUGAGGUGUGAAGAUGAAAUGGAUGACUUAGAGAAGAAAAGAUUGCUAGCUAUUUCUUCCCUAUGUGGCCGGCCUCCUUGUAGAGAAAAAGAGAGAAAGUGUUUCACCCCUUUGCCUCAAGAAAACCCUAAUGAGAAAAUAGCUAUAAAGUUGACUUUAUACUACAUCACAUUUGAGUGGCAAACUUGUAAUUAAUUCAAGUUUGCAUCCACUCACCCUUAUGGCCGGCCUUGUCUUUGUUAUUGGGCUAAUUGCCCAUUUUGUUUUAGUUGUCAUACAACUUAAACAUAAUGGGCCUCGUGGACCAAAACACUUUUGGGCCCCGAAACCCAAAACCAACUUAAAAGCCCAAUACGAACCUUUCGUAUAAUUAAUUAACUAAUUAAUUAAUCUUGACCAUUCUCAAUUAAACCAUUUAAUCGCUUAUCCAUCUCAUUUAUAUUUCUUCACUUUCACCCUUACUCGGUGUACAAUCCAUUAGGUUCCAAUUAGCGACGUAGUGGGCGAUUGUUACUCUUAACGAUCGAUUGUGAAUUGAAACAACAUUUCAAUUCUCCCUUUGUUGAAGAUUAGUGUUUGCUAAUCUUCAGGGCUUCCACAAACCAUGAGUGACACCUAGCAGCAUGUCAUGGUUACCCAAGCUAAGUAGAAGUGGUUGUAGAACCUAUCCAGUUACAACUACAACGCAAUACGGUCCUUCUCUAAUACAAUACUCUUAAUCACAUUGUUAGAGUGAUAGUUUGUUUCAUGUCUACCAUCCAAUGUGAUACUUCUCUAUAUGAUUCGAUUGAAUAUGAUUUGGAACAAACUUCGUAAGUCAUAUUCAUAUGCUUUGGCCAAAGACUCUCGAAUCAUAUCUUAGAGUAUUCUCCUUCUACCAUGGAAGGUUAGAGAUCCCUUGUUGUGCAUUCAUAUGCCUACAUGACUAGAUAGCUUGACCCCAACAAUGUCGUGGACACUCUCAAUGGAAUGCCUUUGACAUGAUCAAAGAUCAAGGACCUAACCAUUAGACAUCUAUGAUGCCUCAGGUCAAAGGACUACUUUGCAUAUUACAACUAUCGAGUUCUUACAUGACAUGUAUGUUCGAACUCUCUUUUGAUCGUUGUUCAGUGUACUCGAUUACUCUUUCGAGCACCUAUGUGUUUGUCUUAGUGUCCAACACUAAAUGACUUGAGACUAGUCAUACUCACGCUGGAGUUGACAUAACACAUACUAACCUUAGCGGAUUGUCAAUGCCAAAUUGGCAAUCCUAUGGCU
This 8816-nucleotide long non-coding RNA is filed under the name Malus domestica (apple). Its description in RNAcentral is "long non-coding RNA (MDOM_LNC000050)". The record is from RNAcentral. Lineage: Eukaryota; Viridiplantae; Streptophyta; Magnoliopsida; Rosales; Rosaceae.